This 335-nucleotide unclassified non-coding RNA is filed under the name soil metagenome. RNAcentral describes it as "partial contains 5.8S ribosomal RNA, internal transcribed spacer 2, and large subunit ribosomal RNA". The stretch from base 1 to 120 matches the Rfam family "5.8S ribosomal RNA", at positions 35 to 154 of the family's 154-position model. The record is from RNAcentral.
GAUGAAGAACGUAGCGAAAUGCGAUAAGUAAUGUGAAUUGCAGAAUUCAGUGAAUCAUCGAAUCUUUGAACGCACAUUGCGCCCGCCAGUAUUCUGGCGGGCAUGCCUGUUCGAGCGUCAUUUCAACCAUCAAGCCCCCGGCUUGUGUUGGGGACCUGCGGCUGCCGCAGGCCCUGAAAACCAGUGGCGGGCUCGCUAGUCACUCCGAGCGUAGUAGUUACAUCUCGCUCAGGGCGUGCUGCGGGUUCCGGCCGUUAAAAGCCUUAUUUACCCAAGGUUGACCUCGGAUCAGGUAGGAAGACCCGCUGACCUUAAGCAUAUCAAUAAGCGGAGGA